RNAcentral lists this ribosomal RNA (501 nucleotides) under uncultured bacterium. RNAcentral's name for it is "partial 16S ribosomal RNA". It matches the Rfam family "Bacterial small subunit ribosomal RNA", at positions 30 to 523 of the family's 1533-position model. The record is from RNAcentral.
AUUGAACGCUGGCGGCAUGCCUUACACAUGCAAGUCGAACGGCAGCACGGGUGCUUGCACCUGGUGGCGAGUGGCGAACGGGUGAGUAAUACAUCGGAACGUACCUUAUCGUGGGGGAUAACGCAGCGAAAGUUGCGCUAAUACCGCAUACGCCCUGAGGGGGAAAGCGGUGGACCGUAAGGCCUCGCGCGAUUAGAGCGGCCGAUGUCUGAUUAGCUGGUUGGUGAGGUAAAAGCUCACCAAGGCGAUGAUCAGUAGCUGGUCUGAGAGGACGAUCAGCCACACUGAGACUGAGACACGGCCCAGACGCCGACGGGAGGCAGCAGUGGGGAAUUUUGGACAAUGGGGGCAACCCUGAUCCAGCAAUGCCGCGUGAGUGAAGAAGGCCUUCGGGUUGUAAAGCUCUUUUGUCAGGGAAGAAACAGCAGCUCUAACACAGUCUGCGAAUGACGGUACCUGAAGAAUAAGCACCGGCUAACUACGUGCCAGCCGCCGCCGUAA